This is a long non-coding RNA of Zalophus californianus (California sea lion), 2163 nucleotides long. RefSeq lists it as uncharacterized. The transcript is spliced from 3 exons. Lineage: Eukaryota; Metazoa; Chordata; Mammalia; Carnivora; Otariidae. The record is from RefSeq and is a predicted model, not a curated record.
UCCGGAAAACACUAAUUUUUUAAUUCAGAUUUAUUUAUGAUCACAAAAGAAAAGCAUGUUGAUUUCUCGUUCUCUGGUGAACUGUUUUUGAUGGUGGAAUUUUUUUUUUAAGAUAAUAGGUCAUUUAUUAAGCUUCGCAUAGAAAAAUGAGUAUUUUUUUCAUGUUUAUUUGAAAAAGUCUGUUUUUUCUCAAGAGGUUCUUACCAAACUAAAAUCAGAAGCCAGCCACGGAGGAAAACAAAGGCAUUUUGACAUUCAUCACUGCUUGUGGAGGACCCCACAAGAUCCUGGGCAUGGCCAGCACUAUGGAGAAAAGCAGACCACUGGGUGAAGGUGAUACCAGCGAGUGAGAUACAUGUUGCUGGAAGAAGCCUGGAGUUUAUGUAAGCUAAAGAACAUGGCAAAGCUGCUACCUGGCUGUCAAGAUGAAGAGAAUGGUGCUUAUUUACCAGUGGACUUCAAGAAAGACAAUACAGUAAUCCCCUGUUAACUUGGAAUUCCUAUCCUACAAAAGACUGAGAUGGAAACCAAAGGAGUGGGUAGCAACAGGAGAAACAGUAAAAUAUUUACCAUUUUUUUUAAAACACACAGUAAAUGACAUUUCUAGAAGAUAGCCACUUCCAAAUUUGUUAGUGUUAAGAACCUGUUCCAAUAAGCACAUAGCUCUUCCCUUCCCUCACCUUUCCCUGGCUUCUCAUUGCAAGGACGACAAAACCCGACCUCCAUACUGUGGCUCACAGUCCCCUGAUGAUCUGGCCCCUCAUGUCCGUGCUGGCUUCCAUGGGAUCCUUAAGGCCACCACCCCUCCCACCUCAAGGCCUUUGACCUGGGGCUUCUCCCUUGCUCCUCAUUCUCCUGCUCCUUGGCUCCAGUUUGGCUCAACGAGGCUGCCCGGGGGCACACAGUCAAACUCUCAGCAUCCUUGGUCGACUUCCUUAGUGGCAUUAUGAUACUCGGCUGUGCUCUGCUUUAUGUCCUGGUGACCCUGGAACAGCACAGGUUUGAACUACAUGGGUCCAUUGAUAUGCGGAUUUUUUUUCAACAAAUAUAGUACAGCACUGUACUGUCAACGUACUUUCUCUCUCUUAGAUUUUCUUGAUAACAUUAUCUUUUCUUAGCUUACUUUAUUGUAAGAAUACGGUAUGUGAUACAUAUAACAUACAAGAUAUGGCUUAGCCGACUGUUUAUGUUAUUGGUCAGCCUUCUGGUCAACAGUAGGCUAUUAGUAGCCCUUAAGCCUUCCUAGUAUUAGUAGUUCUUAAGUUCUUUUGACUCUCCCCCAACCUUUGUCCCUCAUUUUUCCUUAAGCUCUUCUUUCAAGAAGAGCUCUUCUCUCAACGGGCGUAGCAUCCCCGGAUGGAAACCAAAACUACCCCUCAAGCAAUAAUGACUGCCCAGGUGAAGAGCUUCAGUGGCCCAGGCCCUUCUGACCAGUUCAAGCCUCACCCCUGACUCGUGCCUGCUCAGAUGGGCUAUGGAGGAACCCAUGGAGGGAUCGACAGUGACUACCUCAUUAUAAUACUGAAAUCUCCGCCUAAGAUGGAGCACAAGCCUCAUUUACAUGACACACAGCAUAUGAAUAGGCAUGUUUCCUUUAGGCACAUGUGCGACCUUAAGCCCACCUCUACAUAUGAUGAUAAGGCUCCCCUUCCUAAAUAUUCAUCCUAGCCCUAAAUAAAAGGAACCCAUUCACCCUUGCUUGAGGAGUCAUGGCUUUGAAGGUUAUUCCCGGUGAUCUCCUUACUUGCUGCAAAUCAAGUUCCCUUUGUGCAACAACUCCACUUGGUGCAAUUUCUCUAACUCACCAAGGGAUGAACUCACGUUAGUUGGACUACAGUAGGGUUUAUGGUAUAUGGUAUAUGGUAUAUGGUAUUUGGUAUAUGGAAGAAGGUAGGGGCGGGGUUUCAAAUCAGUGGGGAGAGGACAGAUUAUUCAAUAAAUGGACAUAUGAAAGAGACUAAUUUCACCAUCUCCCAUCAGAUACACCCACUUAAGCCCCGCAACCUUCCCAUAUUUCCAGAUGGAUUUAAGACCUAAAUGUAAAGCAUAGAACUUUAAAAUUAUGAGGAGAAAAUGUAGAAAUUAUCAUUAGGACCCUAGGUGAAGGAUGAGUUACUUAUUGCUAGGUGCUAAAAGCAAUUUUCAGAUCCCCAAAAUACAAAG